CCAGCACCUGCGGUAAUUCCAGCUCCAUUAGCGUAUAUUAACGUUGUUGCAGUUAAAAAGCUCGUAGUUGGAUUUGUGGAUGGCUGCGGUGUUCCCUUUCUGGGAUACAACUGCAUCUGUCCAGUUUUUGGGUGGAACCUGUGUGGCAUUAGGUUGUCGUGCAGGGGAUGCCCAUCGUUUACUGUGAAAAAAUCAGCGCGUUCAAAGCAGGCUUAUGCCGUUGAAUGUAUUAGCAUGGAAUAAUAAGAUAGGACCUUGGUACUAUUUUGUUGGUUUGCGCACCGAGGUAAUGAUUAAUAGGGACAGUUGGGGGCAUUCGUAUUCCAUUGUCAGAGGUGAAAUUCUUGGAUUUCUGGAAGACGAACUACUGCGAAAGCAUUUGCCAAGGAUGUUUUCAUUAAUCAAGAACGAAA
Molecule: ribosomal RNA, 413 nt
Filed under: uncultured eukaryote
Lineage: Eukaryota
Description: SSU rRNA
Rfam family: Eukaryotic small subunit ribosomal RNA
Source: RNAcentral